AUACGUAGGGGGCGAGCGUUGUCCGGAAUUAUUGGGCGUAAAGGGUUCGUAGGCGGUAAUACAUGUCAGAUGUGAAAUCUUGUGGCUUAAACACAUCAAGCAUCUGAAACUGUAUAACUUGAGUGGAGGAGAGGUAAGUGGAAUUCCUAGUGUAGCGGUGAAAUGCGUAGAUAUUAGGAAGAAUACCAGUAGCGAAGGCGACUUACUGGCCUCUAACUGACGCUGAUGAACGAAAGCGUGGGUAGCAAACAGGAUUAGACACCCUGGUAGUCCACGCCGUAAGCGAUGAAUACUAGGUGUAGGGGGUAUCGACUCCCUCUGUGCCGCAGUUAACACAAUAAGUAUUCCGCCUGGGGAGUACGGCCGCAAGGUUGAAACUCAAAUGAAUUGGCGGGG
Molecule: ribosomal RNA, 396 nt
Filed under: uncultured bacterium
Lineage: Bacteria
Description: partial 16S ribosomal RNA
Rfam family: Bacterial small subunit ribosomal RNA
Source: RNAcentral